Molecule: ribosomal RNA, 492 nt
Filed under: uncultured bacterium
Lineage: Bacteria
Description: partial 16S ribosomal RNA
Rfam family: Bacterial small subunit ribosomal RNA
Source: RNAcentral
AGUGAACGCUGGCGGUAGGCCUAACACAUGCAAGUCGAACGGCAGCACAGUAAGAGCUUGCUCUUACGGGUGGCGAGUGGCGGACGGGUGAGGAAUACAUCGGAAUCUACUUUUUCGUGGGGGAUAACGUAGGGAAACUUACGCUAAUACCGCAUACGACCUACGGGUGAAAGCAGGGGAUCUUCGGACCUUGCGCGAUUGAAUGAGCCGAUGUCGGAUUAGCUAGUUGGCGGGGUAAAGGCCCACCAAGGCGACGAUCCGUAGCUGGUCUGAGAGGAUGAUCAGCCACACGGGAACUGAGACACGGUCCAGACUCCUACGGUAGGCAGCAGUGGGGAAUAUUGGACAAUGGGCGCAAGCCUGAUCCAGCCAUACCGCGUGGGUGAAGAAGGCCUUCGGGUUGUAAAGCCCUUUUGUUGGGAAAGAAAAGCAGCAGGUUAAUACCCCGCUGUUCUGACGGUACCCAAAGAAUAAGCACCGGCUAACUUCGUG